RNAcentral lists this unclassified non-coding RNA (346 nucleotides) under soil metagenome. RNAcentral's name for it is "partial contains 5.8S ribosomal RNA, internal transcribed spacer 2, and large subunit ribosomal RNA". The stretch from base 1 to 120 matches the Rfam family "5.8S ribosomal RNA", at positions 35 to 154 of the family's 154-position model. The record is from RNAcentral.
GAUGAAGAACGUAGCAAAAUGCGAUAAGUAAUGUGAAUUGCAGAAUUCAGUGAGUCAUCGAAUCUUUGAACGCACAUUGCGCCCGCCAGUAUUCUGGCGGGCAUGCCUGUUCGAGCGUCAUUUCAACCCUCAAGCCCUCGGGUUUGGUGUUGGGGAUCGGCGAGCCUUUCUGGCAAGCCGGCCCCGAAAUCUAGUGGCGGUCUCGCUGCAGCCUCCAUUGCGUAGUAGUAAAACCCUCGCAACUGGAACGCGGCGCGGCCAAGCCGUUAAACCCCCAACUUCUGAAUGUUGACCUCGGAUCAGGUAGGAAUACCCGCUGAACUUAAGCAUAUCAAUAAGCGGAGGA